AUUGAACGCUGGCGGCAGGCCUAACACAUGCAAGUCGAACGAGUGGCGGACGGGUGAGUAAUGUCUGGGAAACUGCCCGAUGGAGGGGGAUAACUACUGGAAACGGUAGCUAAUACCGCAUACCAUCGGAUGUGCCCAGAUGGGAUUAGCUUGUAGGUGAGGGAACGGAUCACCUAGGCGACGAUCCCUAGCUGGUCUGAGAGGAUGACCAGCUACACGGGAACUUAGUCAGGGUCCAGAGUCCUACGGGCGGGAGAAGUGGGGAGUAUGGCACAAUGGGCGCAAGCCUGAUGCAGCCAUGCGGCGUGUAUGAAGAAGGCCUUCGGGUUGUAAAGUACUUUCAUCGGGGAGGCGUUACCCGCAGAAGAAGCACCGUCUAACUCCGUGCCAGCAGCCGCGGUAAUUC
This 406-nucleotide ribosomal RNA is filed under the name uncultured bacterium. RNAcentral's name for it is "partial 16S ribosomal RNA". It matches the Rfam family "Bacterial small subunit ribosomal RNA", at positions 30 to 526 of the family's 1533-position model. The record is from RNAcentral.